UCAGAUGGUAGAUGGUCUGGGGCUAGAUUGUGGGGGCGUGGGUUGACAAACCGUAGGUUUUGUGCAGGAGGCCUCUGUUCUGAUCUGGAGGGUCUAAGCAAAAGACUCGAUUUUGGGGUGCUAUUGGGGAGGGACUCAAGUUAUACUUCGUUCCAGAUUGAGGAUUUACUUGACGGUGGAGAGUCUGGGAUCUGAUCUUGGGUGUUGUCGCAGGUUGGGGGUUAGAUUUAGGGUUUAGGUUGGGUUUGAUGUUUGCUUGUUGAAGGUUUCCGGUACUUUGGAUUGACUUGGGUCAGUUUUGUGAGGAUCUUGAAACUGGGGGGCAUGGAGUGGUUGGCUGAGGUGGCAGGAUGUGAUUUGUGAGUUGCUGGGUCUCAAGGAGCAGGUGGUAGGGCCUGGCUCAGGGUGGGGUGUGGACUCUGGGUCCACCUGGCAGUUGACGUCUGUGCAGUGACUUGAUGGGAUGGGGAGUCUCAUCUGAAGGGUACAGGAUGUGGACUAGUUUGGGAAAGGCACGGGUAAUGGAGGGAGGGCUUUGGGGUGACUGAGGACUCCGAUUAAGGGUUGUGCUGGGUCCUAUUGGGUGAUAGUAAGAAGGGGAGGGGACUUGGGGUGGGUUCUCUGUGACUCCAGAGCUUGAGUGAGAUGUUGGGUGAGAUGAAGUUUAGGAGCUGAGGAGGAGGGUGGUCCUGAGCUUUAGAAUCAAGGUGGCCUGGUAUGGGAGGUUGCCUUGGCAGCAUUGGGAGUAGGAUGGCCCAGCUCCCUGCUGUGAACCACAGUGCUGAAAUGACACAGCCUGAGGACCUGAUGGUGCCCUGCCUUGCUCCAGAAGGGACAGAGCCUCAGAGUUCUAGGGUCGCCCUCCAUUGCUGUAGUAACCUGGGUCCGGGGCCUCGGUGGUGCUCCUGAUGUCCCUCACCCACCCCUGAAGAUCCCAGGUGGGCGAGGGAACAGUCAGCGGGAUCACAGUCUUUCAGCUAGCAUCCUCUACUCCGUGAGUACCUGUGGGGAGCCCUGGUGCCUGCCUCUGCAGAGUGAGCUGGCCAUCCUGACAGCCCUACU
Molecule: long non-coding RNA, 1062 nt
Filed under: Cricetulus griseus (Chinese hamster)
Lineage: Eukaryota; Metazoa; Chordata; Mammalia; Rodentia; Cricetidae
Description: lncRNA (ENSCGRG00000025172.1)
Rfam family: Antizyme RNA frameshifting stimulation element (bases 907-965)
Source: RNAcentral